RNAcentral lists this unclassified non-coding RNA (376 nucleotides) under soil metagenome. RNAcentral describes it as "partial contains 5.8S ribosomal RNA, internal transcribed spacer 2, and large subunit ribosomal RNA". The stretch from base 1 to 120 matches the Rfam family "5.8S ribosomal RNA", at positions 35 to 154 of the family's 154-position model. The record is from RNAcentral.
GAUGAAGAACGCAGCGAAAUGCGAUAAGUAAUGUGAAUCGCAGAAUUCAGUGAAUCAUCGAAUCUUUGAACGCAUCUUGCGCUCCUUGGUAUUCUGAGGAGCAUGCCUGUUUGAGUGUCAUUAAAUUCUCAACUACACUGACUUUGAAUUGGUGUGGCUUGGAUUUGGGGGGAAAAUUGUUGUGGGCUUUUUGUAUAGUCUGCUCCCCUGAAAUUGAUUAGCGGUACCUUUGUGGAACUGUCUACAGGUGUGAUAAUUAUCUACAUCUUAGACAUCUGCUGGAAUGCUGCUCUCUAAACCUUACUUGUAUUGACAAUCUUGACCUCAAAUCAGGUAGGACUACCCGCUGAACUUAAGCAUAUCAAUAAGCGGAGGA